GUGGGUAGAGUUCAGUGGUAGAGCCCGUGUUUGGUGAGCACGAGGCCCUGGAUUCAAUCCUCAGUGCCUCCA
RNAcentral lists this transfer RNA (72 nucleotides) under Camelus bactrianus (Bactrian camel). It matches the Rfam family "tRNA". From Rfam's summary of the family: Transfer RNA (tRNA) molecules are approximately 80 nucleotides in length. RNAcentral also lists the same sequence under 3 other names. Lineage: Eukaryota; Metazoa; Chordata; Mammalia; Artiodactyla; Camelidae. The record is from Rfam by way of RNAcentral.